UACGAAGGGGGCUAGCGUUGUUCGGAAUUACUGGGCGUAAAGCGCGCGUAGGCGGGUUGCUAAGUCAGGGGUGAAAUGCCGAGGCUCAACCUCGGAACUGCCUUUGAUACUGGCAACCUGGAGAUCGGGAGAGGUGAGUGGAAUUCCGAGUGUAGAGGUGAAAUUCGUAGAUAUUCGGAGGAACACCAGAAGCGAAGGCGGCUCACUGGCCCGAUACUGACGCUGAGGCGCGAAAGCGUGGGGAGCAAACAGG
This 253-nucleotide ribosomal RNA is filed under the name uncultured Alphaproteobacteria bacterium. Its description in RNAcentral is "partial 16S ribosomal RNA". It matches the Rfam family "Bacterial small subunit ribosomal RNA", at positions 524 to 776 of the family's 1533-position model. The record is from RNAcentral. Lineage: Bacteria; Pseudomonadati; Pseudomonadota; Alphaproteobacteria.